GGUCUUCCGCGCGGAGCGUCCCCGGCGGACGCUGCGCAGAUGGCUGCGACUGUAGGAUUCUUGCCGGCUAGUCUUCGUCGGUUCCGCCUGCGUCAGGUUACUCGUGAAAACUCGAAUAAGUGCUAUCGAUGUGAAAUCCGAGGAAAAGAGCAUUUGGGGGAAAAGUAAGGAAAACUCAAAACUCGGAUUGAGAAGUCUGCCUUGGCUCAUUAAUCAAGAAUUGCGCUUGCGCGCCUAAAUGUGACUGCCUUUAUCCUGCGAUGUCGGUAUUGAAGUAAGAGCAAUACUGGCGGCGUACCUAGCAUUUAGCGACCAUCAGUAUCAGUAGCAGGCCUCUAGCAAAGAACCAGUUAGUGAGCUUUGUACCAUAUCGAAAAUUAUAAGCCGUCCAAAAAAGUGUGAGAGUAAGGAAAAUGGCAGAUUAGAAUCAAAAUAUUUUUAUACCUGUGUCAUACAAGGGUACUUUGAAAAUAGAAAACCAGGUGGAAAUACCACAAAACUUAUUGUAUAUGUUGACACCGAAGAUGGUUUACAAUAGGGAAGAACAGGUGCAAUCAUGCUUGUUCUGUUUCAUGCCAAAUUCCGAAGAUUCACAGUAAGAAUUUAAUCAGAGGUCUUUAUAUUGGAAAAUAUUGCCUAACUGUAGCCUGCUUCAGGCUUGGUUAAUAUAGUUGUGAAACUAGACAUUAAGGCCCUGUAAUACAGACAAAACUUUAAAGAAAUAGGUCAUUUAAAAUGUCCCGUAGAAAAAUGAACAAAAUUCUGUUACUUCAGUUUGCUAAAUAGUGUUUUGUUUUUUUACCAAGUUACAAACACGAUUACACUAAUAUAUUCACACGUCGAUUAUGGUAGUCUUAAGAAGAGCAGUUUAGAGGAGACAGGAGCUUGAGUAAAAGGGAACUUAAGACCAAGUUGACUCGUAGGAAGAUACGGAAGAUAAAAGAGAAUUGAGGUAAUUAAUCUAUCAGUCAUGCUAGAGACAGGAAUGAUUUUUCCAAUAGGAGGUGAAGGUACACAGAUGUUUGUCUUUACUGGGAAUAAUGCCACAGUGGAAGACAAAGGUAAUAUAGAAAAUAAAAUAUUAAGAAGGAAUUAAGUAUUAAGAAGGAUCGUGGAUUUGAGGUGGAGUGGAGGAAAUUUGGAAUUAAUCUUUGUGCUAAGAAACUAACAGGACGAAUGAAGAUUGCUGAAUAGUACCAGCGAAGUGAUUAUUCCAAAGUAGACAAGAAAAAAAUAUUGGUUAAAAGGACUUCUGACUCAAACUCCUCCUCUUGAGUUUGCAGUUUGCCACUUCCAGCCUGGCGACUAGGUGCUGAUUAAGACUUGGAAAGAAGACAAGCUCCACCCAAGCUGAGAAGGUCCCUGUCAAGUGCUGCUGACCCCUGAGAUGGCCAUAUGUACAGCUGAAUGGGGGUGGACUCACUAUACUUGUCAAGGGACUGGUAAAAGAGACCCUGGAAGGGUGGGAAAAAGACCAGUGGAAAGUACAUGGGUCACCUGAGGAACCCUUAAAAUUAACUCUGAGAUGAAUCUAAAAAGAAAACAUGGGCUGGUCCCAUUUCUGGAAAUUAAUAUGGCUGGGAUGGGCUACUAUGCAAAGAGAAGAAGGUCAAAGUAGAAACUAUCAGGGGACUCCUCCCUACCCACUCAGGUUGGUAAUUAAUGUAAACAAGAUGGUGGCACCCAAGACUAUAAGAUUUGAUGACUGCCAAGGUUUUUACCUUGUAAGAAUUUGGAAAAUCAGAGACAGCUCUCACAUGUGGAUAAAUAUCCACUUCAUAUGAGGUGCUUGGAAUAGUCAAAUUAGAGGUUUCUAGGGGCUAGGGAGAAAAUAAAUGGGGAGUUAUUGUUUAAUAGGUACAGAGUUUCUCUUUCAAAGAAUGAAAAGUUCUGUAAAUGGAUAGUGGUGAUGAUUGCACAACAGUGUGUACUUAAUGCCACCGAACUGUACACUUAAGAAUGGUAAAUUUUAGGUUAUAUUUUACCACAAUAAAAAAUUAAAAUCAACAGUAAAGAAAUCAAUCCAAUUAAAAAUGGGCAAAAGAUUUCAAGACACAUUUCAAUGAAGAGGAUUUACAUAUGGCAAACAAAUGGAAAGUUGUUUAACAUUUCUAGCUAAUAGGGAAAUGCAAAUUAAGACCAUGAGAUAUUAUAACACAUUUAUUAGAGAACCACUAAAAUAAAAAAUGGUGACAACAUUAAUGCUGGCAAAGAUGCAGACAAACUGAUUUCUCAUACAUUGCAAGUGGAAAUGCAAAAUGGUUUAACCACUCUGGAGAAUUGUUUGGAAGUUUCUUAAAAAUUAAACAUGCAGCUAUCAUAUGAUCAAACUGUUGAACUACUAGGUAUUUAUUCCAGAGAAAUGAAAACUUAUGUUCACACAAAUACAUAUACACAAAUGUCCAAAGCAGCUUUAUCUGCAAUAGCCAACAACCAAAAACAAUCAAAAUUGUCAUCAGUAGGUGAAUGGCUAAACAAACUAUGGUCAUCAGUAUGCUGAAUGGCUAAACAAACUGUGGUACAUUCUUACUGUGGAAUAUUACUUAGCAAUAAAAAGAAAGAAACUAUUGAUGGACACAACUUGGAUGGAUUUCAAGGGCAUUUUUAUGCCAAGUGAAGAAAACUAAUCUCAAAAGUCACAUACUAUGUGAUUCCAUUUGUACGACAUUCUCAAUAUGAGGAAAUUUUAGAGAUGAAGAACAGAUUAGUGGUUGCCAAGGGCUAGGUAUAGAUGGGAGAGGCAGAGGGAUGAGUAGAACUUUUAAUAAAGGGGUAGAAUGAGGGUAAUUCUUGUGGUGAUAGAAUAGUUCUGUACCUUGAUUGCGACUGUUGCAUGACUCCAUGUGUGGUAAAGUGGCAUGGAAUUAUACAUAUGUUGUAUCAAUAUCAAUUUCCUGAUUGUGAUAUUAUGCUAUAGUUAUGUAAGAGGUAACAUUGAGGUAUAACUGAGUGAAGAGUACAGAGGAUUUCUCUGUAUUAUCUUUGCAACUUCGUGUGACUGUAUAAUGAUUUCAAAAUUAAAAAGUUUAAAACAUUUAAGUCUUUAAUCCAUCUUGAAUUAAUUUUUGUAUAAGGUGUAAGGAAGGGAUCCAGUUUCAACUUUCUCCAUAUGGCUAGCCAGUUUUCCCAGCACCAUUUAUUAAAUAGGGAAUCCUUUCUCCAUUUCUUGUUUUUGUCAGGUUUGUCAAAGAUCAGAUAAUUGUAGAUAUGUGGCAUUAUUUCUGAGGACUCUGUUCUGUUUCAUUGGUCUAUAUCUCUGUUUUGGUACCAGUACCAUGCUGUUUUGGUUACUGUAGCCUUGUAGUAUAGUUUGAAGUCAGGUAGCAUGAUGCCUCCAGCUUUGUUGUUUUGGCUUAGGAUUGACUUGGCA
RNAcentral lists this long non-coding RNA (3370 nucleotides) under Homo sapiens (human). RNAcentral describes it as "HSALNT0322628". The record is from RNAcentral. Lineage: Eukaryota; Metazoa; Chordata; Mammalia; Primates; Hominidae.